GUGGGGAAUCUUGCGCAAUGGGCGAAAGCCUGACGCAGCCAUGCCGCGUGAAUGAUGAAGGUCUUAGGAUUGUAAAAUUCUUUCACCGGGGACGAUAAUGACGGUACCCGGAGAAGAAGCUCCGGCUAACUUCGUGCCAGCAGCCGCGGUAAUACGAAGGGGGCUAGCGUUGCUCGGAAUUACUGGGCGUAAAGGGCGCGUAGGCGGACAGCUUAGUCAGAGGUGAAAGCCCAGGGCUCAACCUUGGAAUUGCCUUUGAUACUGGCUGUCUUGAGUACGGGAGAGGUGAGUGGAACUCCGAGUGUAGAGGUGAAAUUCGUAGAUAUUCGGAAGAACACCAGUGGCGAAGGCGACUCACUGGCCCGUUACUGACGCUGAGGCGCGAAAGCGUGGGGAGCAAACAGGAUUAGAAACCCCAGUAGCC
Molecule: ribosomal RNA, 424 nt
Filed under: uncultured bacterium
Lineage: Bacteria
Description: partial 16S ribosomal RNA
Rfam family: Bacterial small subunit ribosomal RNA
Source: RNAcentral